ACAAAGAACUUAGUAAAGCUGGGCUAGGACCAUGGUCCAGAGCACCUGUGUGCCAAGUGAGUGAAACCACAUGCCAGCCUCAGAGAGGGACCUCAGACCACAGGGACCUGUUUUUCUGUGGAGCUAGCAGCUGGUGCAAGUAUGGGUGUGCAGAGGCCAACAUCUAUCCUGCUCAGCCAGAAAGGAACAGGAUUAGGCCAUUGGUACUGUUUACAUUGAUGUGAGUGCUCUGUCCAUCUGUGCUGUCUGUGUGGCUGGCAAUUUAUACACGGUGUAUACAUUUGCUCUGUCUGUGUGCGCCUGUUGGGAACAAACUCAGCCUCACAAAU
This 329-nucleotide long non-coding RNA is filed under the name Anas platyrhynchos platyrhynchos (common mallard). Its description in RNAcentral is "lncRNA (ENSAPLG00000023071.1)". The record is from RNAcentral. Lineage: Eukaryota; Metazoa; Chordata; Aves; Anseriformes; Anatidae.